GCGGCGGGAGGUGAGGGCCGCCUGCCUGGCCGGACCCCAGGGGUGUCGGACGGUGGGCAGGGCCUCCUGGGAUCCCUGAGGCGCCGGCAGGAGGAGACGCCCUGGGGUCGGUGCCUCCACCUUCCCGUCCGGGCGGUUACAGCUUUCCCGCGUUCGCUGUCAGAGGCAGGGACCGGCGACCUCGGGGGCCUGGUCCCUGAGCCACAGCGGGGAGUCGUCCGAGCAUCUCGGGAUGAGGAAGUGUGAGUGUAAUAUCAGGAUGAUUUGACUGCAAGCAACAGAGAAUCAAACAGAAAUGGCCUAGGGAGUCCCUUCGUGGCUCCCCAGUUAACAAUCUGACUGGAUCAUGAGGAUGCAGGUUCAAUCCCCGGCCUCUAUCAGUGGGUGAAGGAUCUAGUGCUACCAUGAGCUGUGCUGUGGUGUAGGCUGGCGGCCGCAGCUCCAGUUGGACCCCUAGCCCGGGAACUUCCAUAUGCUGUGGGUGCAGCCCUAAAAAGCAAAAACAAACAAAAAAAUGAAACAAAACAAAACAAAAAAUCCACAAAAAAAUCAGAAAUGGCCUAAACAAAGAAGAAAACGUGUUAUCCCAUACUACAAGAAGUUUGGGGAUUGAGUGAGUGGUUAAAUGCAUGAUUAGUUUAGAAACUUGACAGCACCACCCAGGACCCAUUUUCCCUAAGGCGCUGCUGCCCCCCACCCUGUAGGCUUAGCCACCGCAGCAAAGACACCCCCCUUCCCCAACCAGAGCCCUGCGUCAGGACUGGAAGGGGCCUCCUUCCCUCCAUCCCCUUCCAGAACCUCCGCAGAAGACUCCCCUUGACGUCUCAUUCCAUCCCAUACUGGUCACUUUGCAGGGGAACGGAUUUACCAUGGUGGCCAGAGACAAUUAAGUCGCCCCCAUCUCUGGAGAACACUUGACCACUCAGUACCCAGCAACUCGGGUACUCCUGGCAAGAAAGAGACAGGUGAUACCCACUGGGUCCUGUCCACAGCGCCUGCCCCCAGCAACCUGUCUACCUGGAAAACUGAGGGGGUGCCACGCGGGUCUGUGUCUUCUCUGUAGUUUGCCCGAGUCUUUCCCAUUAGGUAAGUGUCGCCCUUUUCCCUCUUUGCGGCUUUCCUCCUUGGCACGUCACCCAGGUUUUGUUCAGCCACAAGGGGCGAUAGGCUGAAAGAGGAAUCUCCAGGCCUAGGUGAUGGGCCAGCCGUGGUGAUCCUCACCCGUUUGCCUGGGCACCGUUUGGGAAACGUCCCCCUGCUCACCACGGAGAUGAAAGACCAGGUCCCUGGAGGGGCUUCGCGGAAGGAUUUUUCUCCCCAGUAAAGCGGCAGACAAGCCAAGGGUCCGCCGCCCUACGCGCCGUCUGCCUUGAGCCGCCGCCAGCUCACAUCCUUGAGCAGAAACGUUGCAGGGAGGCAGAAAGCGCCGAGUCUCAUGGAUCGUGCUGAGCGUUGCAUCCACCCAGGACUGCUUACCUUCAGACUUCUGCUCCGGUGGCAGAGCAGCAAACCCCUAUUGUGUAAGCCUUUGUAGAUGGCUGGUGCCACUUGCUGCUGAAAGUGACAGAUAAUCUUUCUAGGAAUAUAACCCCUAAAGCCCUUUAUGGUAACAGAUGCACUUAGAGAAUGUAGUUUUCUUUCUUUUUCUUACUUAAAAAAAAAAAAAAAAAAAGCUGAAGUCUGCCUCAGGCAAAAAGACAAACUGAAAACAUAUGUAUGCAUAAUUGAAGUGCAAUCAAUAUUCAUUAGAAAAUGAACGAAUGUUCUUCAGGUUACUUUAAUAGUUUUCUCGGGAAUCUGUUUUUGGAUACGUAUGUCAGCUACAAUAUUUGGCACUUCCAGGAGCUCUGUGUUGAUGUCCUUCCUAGAAGUUGCACUUCUGCGCAUUUUUCUGCGCCUUUGGGGUCUCAGAUGUUCCUGGAAGGAAUCACUUUUCACUCCCCUGGCUUUUCCCUCGAACAGGUAACUUGUAACUUGCUGUUGCCUAUAGAUAUCGAGCAUUUGUCCAAAAAUAUGUUCCUACAAUACCUUCCUGUCUCAGCCAUUCCAUUCACAAGACAGUUUAAACAUUUCUCCAUGCUAUUCCACAGAUCAUUCAUAGAGGAACCAUCUGAACCAUGCAACAAAGUCUAGAAACUUUUAUGACUUUUAACUUCCACGACAAGUUAUCAUGUACUUGGUACCCUCAGCCAGGUACAUGUUAAGCUCAGGUUUCAUGUAUGUUAGCGUGGAGCCAUAUUUCCUUGUGGAUAAACCUAUAGAUUUAUCCCCACCCCCACUUCCCUUCCCAGAAGUAACUGUUGCCUUGACAACAGGGUAAGGACAGCAGUGAUGACGGCUGUGAUAACGAUUAUGAUAAUGAUGGCAGGAGAAACUGUAUGCUGGCCAUUAUCUAAGCACUUUACAUGCAUUAGCUCCUUUAACGCCCAAGGAGGCAUGUGACAGAAAUGCUAUUUUUAUCCCCGUGUUAGAGAUGAGGGCUGAGGAAAGACUGGUGAGGUGCCUUGCCCAAGGCCACACGUCUGGUCCCCAGAGAAGCCAGGCUUCCUACCCAGGCAACCCAGGGGUCCCAUACACUGUCGCUGCCUGAUAGGUAGCAGUGGUGGUGAUACACACUUCCUCUAGGUACAUGCGCAUCCAUAAUAAAGACGCAGUAGACUUAUUUGCAUAUUUUAAAAAGUGUAUGGUUUCAGAACAUUUGUUGUUUUUCCCUGUUAUGAAUCGUGUCGCAGUAAACGUCUCGCGUGCAUCACCUCACGUGUGUGCUGCUCUAUGGCCAACAUCGAAAGGUCUCAUUUCUGGAGUUCCUGUCGUGGCUCAGAGGUUAACGAACCUGACUAGCAUCCAUGAGGUUGUGGUUCGAUCCCUGGCCUCGAUCAGUGGGUUAAGGAUCUGGCGUUGCCGUGAGCUGUGGUGUAGGUCACAGAUGUGGCUUGGGUCUGGUGUUACUGUGGCUGUGGUGUAGGCCGGGGGCUGCAGCUCCAAUUCGACCCCUAGCCUGGGAACCUCUACAUGCUGCGGGUUCGGCCUUAAAAAGACAAAAGAC
This 3046-nucleotide long non-coding RNA is filed under the name Sus scrofa (pig). Its description in RNAcentral is "lncRNA (ENSSSCG00000047466.2)". Lineage: Eukaryota; Metazoa; Chordata; Mammalia; Artiodactyla; Suidae. The record is from RNAcentral.